Molecule: ribosomal RNA, 645 nt
Filed under: Salmonella enterica subsp. enterica serovar Infantis
Lineage: Bacteria; Pseudomonadati; Pseudomonadota; Gammaproteobacteria; Enterobacterales; Enterobacteriaceae
Also listed under: 3 other names
Description: partial 23S ribosomal RNA
Rfam family: Bacterial large subunit ribosomal RNA
Source: RNAcentral
UGAAGCGUGGACGCCAGUCUGCGUGGAGCCGACCUUGAAAUACCACCCUUUAAUGUUUGAUGUUCUAACGUGGACCCGUAAUCCGGGUUGCGGACAGUGUCUGGUGGGUAGUUUGACUGGGGCGGUCUCCUCCUAAAGAGUAACGGAGGAGCACGAAGGUUGGCUAAUCCUGGUCGGACAUCAGGAGGUUAGUGCAAUGGCAUAAGCCAGCUUGACUGCGAGCGUGACGGCGCGAGCAGGUGCGAAAGCAGGUCAUAGUGAUCCGGUGGUUCUGAAUGGAAGGGCCAUCGCUCAACGGAUAAAAGGUACUCCGGGGAUAACAGGCUGAUACCGCCCAAGAGUUCAUAUCGACGGCGGUGUUUGGCACCUCGAUGUCGGCUCAUCACAUCCUGGGGCUGAAGUAGGUCCCAAGGGUAUGGCUGUUCGCCAUUUAAAGUGGUACGCGAGCUGGGUUUAGAACGUCGUGAGACAGUUCGGUCCCUAUCUGCCGUGGGCGCUGGAGAACUGAGGGGGGCUGCUCCUAGUACGAGAGGACCGGAGUGGACGCAUCACUGGUGUUCGGGUUGUCAUGCCAAUGGCACUGCCCGGUAGCUAAAUGCGGAAGAGAUAAGUGCUGAAAGCAUCUAAGCACGAAACUUGCCCCGA